GUUUUUAUGGUGUAAUAAACACAUAACUUUUUCAAAGUUAAGCUAACAGUCUUUAAAAACA
RNAcentral lists this transfer RNA (61 nucleotides) under Pseudoniphargus sp. 1-Portugal. RNAcentral describes it as "tRNA-Glu". The record is from RNAcentral. Lineage: Eukaryota; Metazoa; Arthropoda; Malacostraca; Amphipoda; Allocrangonyctidae.